GGCUCCCUGUUCCUGCAGCUGAAGGAUAGGUGUCACAGGACAGGCAAGAACGGAGCUGGUGGCCUGGACUGGGCCACCAUGGAGAGCAUCUUCGCCUGCAGGGACGGCCCCAAGCCAUGACCAUGAAGACGAAGCCGCUGCGGAACUGAUGGGCCCCCGACGGCCGGGUGGAAGCCUCUGGUCCAGAGGUGCUGGGCGGGGAUGGGACUCUCCUCCCAGGGGCGAAGCCUGAGAAACCGGAGCUGGUUGUGACACCUUUGGCUCCGGGGUAUUUGCUGGCCUUUGUCCUGCUGGCUGGCGUCUGGGGGCUGAGAUUUGCAGCAAAUGAUGGCUCCGAAGCCGUGAUACAAGAGGCCAAAUGAGAGGAAAUAACUAGGAUCAACGAAAAUCCAUUUUGGAAGAGGCCAUUACAAUGGUUCGUUUGGGAAACCCUUGUGAAGCUGGCUUUCUCCAUCUUUCGUUCAACAAUCAAGAAACCCUUGGUGAGGAGUGAGGAGAAUGUUGCCAAACCCCCAACUGGAUCACGGGACUGGCCAACAGCUGUUAAAAAUGGAAUCAAGAACCUGUGGAUGAAGACAAGAGCAGGGCGGAACUCUACUUCCCUGAGCCGUGAUGGCAGCCCAGGGCCGGCUCCAGCAAGGGCUGACGGAAUUUUCCAGGUGUGCUGUGUGAGGGCCUCCGCAGGACAGGGCCCAAGGGAGGGCUGCGAGAAGGCGCUCGCCCCGGGGCAUGUGUUUAAAAGGCCCCACCGCUGACUGUAGGAAAGGGCCGAGGAGGCAGGGGACCUUUGCUCCGGCCUCAGCCCAGCUGUGGAACUGACCAGCCGUGACCUGGGCAAGUCAUUUAACUGACUGCGUCUUCCAGUUGGGCAGCCACGACGGGCAGACCCUGGCCAGAUGCUCAGGAUGCACCAAUGAACCCGUGAUGCCCGGAGUCUUAGGCGCAUGAGGUCAGCAGACAGUUCCCGCCACGGGGCUGACCACAGAGGCACGUACGAAGCUGCCCAGGGGCCCACAGAGGGAAAGAGGCAUGUCGUGGGUGAGGUGGGUGAGGGGAGCAGGGUGAGGGAGAAGGAAGGCUUCACGGAGGAGGUGACGUCUGAACGGGGCUUUGGAGGUUGAGUAGGAGCUCCCAGUGGGAGAAGAGCAUGAUAAGGAGAGUGAGGAUCACAGAGGCAGGGGCCCAGCAGGGCCAGUCACAU
Molecule: long non-coding RNA, 1201 nt
Filed under: Felis catus (domestic cat)
Lineage: Eukaryota; Metazoa; Chordata; Mammalia; Carnivora; Felidae
Description: lncRNA (ENSFCAG00000043559.2)
Source: RNAcentral